GCGGGCUAGAGAAACAGUUAUCUCGUCACUCUCAUAAGGUGAAGAUAGUGGGUGCGACUCCCACGCCACGCA
This 72-nucleotide transfer RNA is filed under the name Caudoviricetes sp. Its description in RNAcentral is "tRNA-Met". It matches the Rfam family "tRNA". From Rfam's summary of the family: Transfer RNA (tRNA) molecules are approximately 80 nucleotides in length. Their secondary structure includes four short double-helical elements and three loops (D, anti-codon, and T loops). The record is from RNAcentral. Lineage: Duplodnaviria; Heunggongvirae; Uroviricota; Caudoviricetes.